Molecule: ribosomal RNA, 496 nt
Filed under: uncultured bacterium
Lineage: Bacteria
Description: partial 16S ribosomal RNA
Rfam family: Bacterial small subunit ribosomal RNA
Source: RNAcentral
AUGAACGCUGGCGGCGUGCCUAAUACCUGCAAGUCGAGCGAACAGACGAGGAGCUUGCUCCUCUGACGUUAGCGGCGGACGGGUGAGUAACACGUGGAUAACCUACCUAUAAGACUGGGAUAACUUCGGGAAACCGGAGCUAAUACCGGAUAAUAUAUUGAACCGCAUGGUUCAAUAGUGAAAGACGGUUUUGCUGUCACUUAUAGAUGGAUCCGCGCCGCAUUAGCUAGUUGGUAAGGUAACGGCUUACCAAGGCAACGAUGCGUAGCCGACCUGAGAGGGUGAUCGGCCACACUGGAACUGAGACACGGUCCAGACUCCUACGGGAGGCAGCAGUAGGGAAUCUUCCGCAAUGGGCGAAAGCCUGACGGAGCAACGCCGCGUGAGUGAUGAAGGUCUUCGGAUCGCAAAACUCUGUUAUUAGGGAAGAACAAAUGUGUAAGUAACUAUGCACGUCUUGACGGUACCUAAUCAGAAAGCCACGGCUAACUACGUG